UUUUCGUCUUUUCUCAGCGUUAAUUUUUCGAUCUAUGGAAGGUUUUAGAUGGUUUAGAAUAAAAAGGGAAAUAUACGUAAGUGCUAGUUUUUUUGCGAGUCCAAGUACCGGUUCCCGACGUUCCGGUUUUAACCGGACUUGAAUCGAAACUUUUUACAAGUCCAGUACCGGUUCGGCGUACCGGUACGCAGCACUAGCGGAAGAAGCGGGUACAUCUGGCGGAGAUCUUUCCAGACGUGCAGUUUCAUUUGCCAUCAAUGUCCGUGAAAAAUGCCACCUGUCCCAGAGAAGUGUCAACGAUAUUGUCCGGGGGUCCAACAGUAUCAAGCGGCUCUUCUGGAUACCUUGAGAGACAAAAUGAAGAGGGUCUUCGAGAGUCAUUCAGGGAGUACGACGCUGCUCCAAGAGGAAGCAUUGGCAACAUUUGAUCAUUUUCAGGAUCCUUUCACCCUAAUGGCCACCACAUACAUGCAGGAUAGCACCAUUCAGAAUCUUUUUAACCCAGUGAAACCAGAGGAAAUAGUUGUGUCUCAAAAGGUUUGUAGAGUUAAAAAGGGAGACUCAAGAGUUCUUGUAAUCACAAACUAAAGUUUUUACUAUAUACCCCUAAUUAAUAGUCUACAACAGCUGUUGUCCGACUCCAGAAUCUUUGAUAUGAUCAACACUGCAGCACAAAGCUGCAACAAA
Molecule: long non-coding RNA, 687 nt
Organism: Eleginops maclovinus (Patagonian blennie)
Lineage: Eukaryota; Metazoa; Chordata; Actinopteri; Perciformes; Eleginopidae
Exons: 3
Source: RefSeq, a predicted model, not a curated record